This is an RNA transcript of Pomacea canaliculata, 2015 nucleotides long. RefSeq lists it as uncharacterized. The record is from RefSeq and is a predicted model, not a curated record. The transcript is spliced from 6 exons. Lineage: Eukaryota; Metazoa; Mollusca; Gastropoda; Architaenioglossa; Ampullariidae.
AUGCGCGGUAUAAAUUAGGAAUGUUUAUUUGGGACACAAGGCCUUAAAAGCGGAGGUCUAGUACUACACGUUGGGUCUUCCCGCUCAUCGCCGAUUUUUUUCAUCUCACACAGACCGUGAGUGACCCAGGUCACAUCAGGACAGGUCAAGGCAGGCGCUGCUGUGGAUCCGCGGUGGAGACUGUGGACUUGUGACCUGACACACCAUCAUGCCUUUCAAUUCUCGCAGCAAAGUUUACAUUCUGGGAUAUGCAGGCGUUGUCCUGGCAACCGUCGUUGGUUCCAUUGGACUGGGCGCUCCGGGCUGGUUCAUCGCAAGAAGUGACAUCAGCGAGUUGUUGACGGGUCUGUGGCAAGUUUGUGUCCAAGGUUUUUUGGUUUCCAGAGAAGUUCGUCUGUACUUACAUUGACUACGAAUCAUUAGACAAUUACCAAAAGGCCACCCAGGCUAUGGCGUGUAUUGGGGUGGCCCUCCUGAUUGCGUCUACUGUGUACGGACUGUUUGUCAAUGUAGUAUCCACAAAUUCGCCAUCGUCACCUUACGUUGAGAUCCUUGCCUUGUUGGGUGGUGUGAGCCUUUUUAUCGGCUGCAUGGUAUGGGUAGGUUAUAAGUACAACUUUUACUCCGAUCCAGGGGUCAGUUUGGGUUACGCCAUGAUAAUCUCUACUAUUGGCUCUGUCCUCGCUAUUCAGGCUUCUGUGUGUGUGGCAGUAGGAAGCCGGAGAAAUGGAUCCUACCAGCAAAUUCAAUAGUAUGUGACUUUCUCUAUGUUGCUAUUCGGUAGUUAAUGACCAACAGAGGCGAGGUAAAUCUGAUGAUAGGCUCUCUGUAGCAGUAACGAUUGUGUGUUUGUUUUGUAGUUUUGUUUGUGUUUUUAUAUUUAGGCUCAACUUACAUUUGAGUCUGUAAAAGAUAGACACAGUAACUUGAACUUUCAAACUUUGUUUUUGUUUUCAUUGCUGUGAAUUGUUAGACAGUGUCACAAAAAUACACUACAAAGAAGUCUGCAAACUGUGCAAGCCUGUAAACCAGCAUUUCUGAAAAGGGUUUGAGAAGUGGACUCAGAUCAUCGUGAUGAUUGCAGAUCUGGCUUUUGUUCUUCGUGGAGGGCCCUAAGGUACGAUAACUCAGUGACCUUUCCGAAGACAGCCGAGUUGUUGGCCUUUUAUGGAGGCGUUCUUAGUUUCAUCGGCGCCGUUAUCUACGCUGUAAACACGAAGAGACUUGACGACACUGCCUAUGGUUUCGGGUUUUUCCUGGUCGCGGCGGCCGCCAUUGUGGGAGUGGCUGGAGGACUGGUGGUGGCCAAUCAGAACUGGACUGAGUGGAUAAAGGACCAAUCGUUGAGCAGCGAGGUCAACCACGGGGGCGCACUGGCAGAAUUCAACAUAUCCAGGCUGCAGAAGAUGAAUUCUAUUAAACCGAAGUAGGGGAGAGCAUUCACGCAGUUCUAAAAACUGUUAUAGUCAAGAAUUGCGAUGACUUUGUUCCUUCCAUUUCUCUCCUUCUGUCUGAAUAAUUUCUGUGUUUCGGUCCCACUUUUCAUUGUGUUCCGCACUUGUAUGUAAGUCUUGCUGGUUUUAAGUCCCAUCUCUCUCUCUCCGUACGCGUACAAAAUGCAAUUGUUUGUCAUUAUCAUUCCAGUGCUACUCGUUGAUUGCUAGACGUGUCGACAUUUUGAUGAUCAUUGUAUUCUACAUCCCAUGUUUCCAACACAGCUCUAAACAAUGUCCCUACCUAGGAUUUAAUGUUACCAACGCUGGGCAGCUGAAGUCUUUAAGAAUGAGUCGUUCUACUGUUAUACCAUUGAUGUCAGAAAUUAAUCCGGUGUAUAUAUAAUAUAAAUAUAGAAAUAAAUAUCUAAUUCUGCAUUGGGAGUGUGUACUCUGUACUAUAUAGCUUCAGUUAGAAGGAAUGUUUGAAGGUUUAUGUCAGUACUUCCUUACACAGAAUAGUUUCUUCUUCCCAAUUUGACAGCUCAGUCAAGUAUUAUCUGCCUUCUUAAUUAGAAACAU